AUGUUAGAUGCUUGCAUUUAACUGAUUUAACAUUGAGACGAGUGGCGAACUGGUGAGUAACACGUGGGUAACCUGCCCUUGAAGUAGGGGAUAACACUUGGAAACAGGUGCUAAUACCGUAUAACAACCAAAACCACCUGGUUUUGGUUUAAAAGAUGGCUUCGGCUAUCACUUUAGGAUGGACCCGCGGCGUAUUAGCUUGUUGGUAAGGUAACGGCCUACCAAGGCAAUGAUACGUAGCCGACCUGAGAGGGUAAUCGGCCACAUUGGGACUGAGACACGGCCCAAACUCCUACGGGAGGCAGCAGUAGGGAAUCUUCCACAAUGGACGAAAGUCUGAUGGAGCAACGCCGCGUGAGUGAUGAAGGGUUUCGGCUCGUAAAACUCUGUUGUUGGAGAAGAACAGGUGUGAGAGUAACUGUUCACAUCUUGACGGUAUCCAACCAGAAAGCCACGGCUAACUACGUGCCAGCAGCCGCGGUAAUACGUAGGUGGCAAGCGUUGUCCGGAUUUAUUGGGCGUAAAGCGAGCGCAGGCGGUUUCUUAGGUCUGAUGUGAAAGCCUUCGGCUUAACCGGAGAAGUGCAUCGGAAACCAGGAGACUUGAGUGCAGAAGAGGACAGUGGAACUCCAUGUGUAGCGGUGAAAUGCGUAGAUAUAUGGAAGAACACCAGUGGCGAAGGCGGCUGUCUGGUCUGUAACUGACGCUGAGGCUCGAAAGCAUGGGUAGCGAACA
This 735-nucleotide ribosomal RNA is filed under the name Lentilactobacillus parabuchneri. RNAcentral describes it as "bacterial SSU rRNA". It matches the Rfam family "Bacterial small subunit ribosomal RNA", at positions 44 to 774 of the family's 1533-position model. Lineage: Bacteria; Bacillati; Bacillota; Bacilli; Lactobacillales; Lactobacillaceae. The record is from RNAcentral.